Molecule: ribosomal RNA, 1217 nt
Filed under: uncultured Rhizaria
Lineage: Eukaryota
Description: SSU rRNA
Rfam family: Eukaryotic small subunit ribosomal RNA
Source: RNAcentral
CGGUAAUUCCAGCUCCAAUAGCGUAUACUAAAGUUGUUGCAGUUAAAAAGCUCGUAGUUGGAUUUCUGCGGGGACGGAGCGGCCGGUCGCAACUUGCGACUCGAGCUAGCGCUUUCCCCGCAUCCUGCCGCGAACCGUGCUACCAUUAGCUUGGUGGCGCUGGGGAUCGGCUCGAUUACUUUGAGAAAAAUAGAGUGUUCAAAGCAGGCCACACGCCUUGAAUAAGUUAGCAUGGAAUAAUGACUAAGGACUUCGGUCCUAUUUUGUUGGUGUUCGGGACUGAAGUAAUGAUUGAUAGGGACAGUUGGGGCGGUCUGUAUUCCAAAGCGAGAGGUGAAAUUCUUAGACCUUCGGAAGACAAACAGCUGCGAAAGCGUUCCGCAAGGAUGUUCCCUUUGAUCAAGAACGAAAGUUGGGGGAUCGAAGACGAUCAGAUACCGUCGUAGUCUCAACUAUAAACUAUACCAGCUAGGGAUCGGUCAACGUUUAAUCAUUCGACUUGAUCGGCACCUUAUGAGAAAUCAAAGCAUCUGGGUUCCGGGGGGAGUAUGGUCGCAAGGCUGAAACUUAAAGGAAUUGACGGAAGGGCACCACCAGCCGUGGAGCCUGUGGCUUAAUUUGACUCACCACGGGAAAACUUACCAGGUCCAGACAUAGUAAGGAUUGAUAGAUUGAUAGCUCUUUCUUGAUUCUGUGGGUGGUGGUGCAUGGCCGUUCUUAGUUGGUGGAGUGAUUUGUCUGGUUAAUUCCGUUAACGAACGAGACCCCAGCCUGCCAAAUAGCGCGGCUGAGCUUUGCUCGGUGCGAGCUUCUUAGAGGGACUAUGAUGCGCGAUAGCACAUGGAAGUCUGGGGCAAUAACAGGUCUGUGAUGCCCUUAGAUGUUCUGGGCCGCACACGGGCUACACUGGCGCCUGCAACGAGCAUAUCAGCUGGCCCGAGAGGGUCUUGGCUAAUCUUUUGAACCGGCGCCGUGCUUGGGAUUGACCAUUGCAAUUGUUGGUCAUGCAACGAGGAAUGCCUUGUAAACGCGAGUCAUCAGCUCGCAUUGAAUACGUCCCUGCCCUUUGUACACACCGCCCGUCGCUCCUACCGAUGAAUGUUCCGAUGAAAUUUUCGGAGAGCGCCAGAGAACGGGGCUCCGCCUUGCAGAUCUGGAGGCUCAAAGUCACUUAAAUCUGAACAUUUCGAGGAAGGAGAAGUCGUAACAAGGUAACC